Molecule: small RNA, 354 nt
Filed under: Arabidopsis thaliana (thale cress)
Lineage: Eukaryota; Viridiplantae; Streptophyta; Magnoliopsida; Brassicales; Brassicaceae
Description: ATSL204310
Source: RNAcentral
AAAUCAAGCUUCUUCUUGCUUCUAAAAGCUUUGAUUGUUUAGCCGAAGUCCAUAUGAGUCUUUGUCUUUGUAUCUUCGAACAAGGAAACACUUCUUAGGCUUUUAAGAUAAGAUUGCAGUUUAAGUACUUAUACUCAAUCAUACACAUGACAUCAAGUUAUAUUCGACUCCAAAACUCUAACCAAGCUUCUUCUUGCUUCUCAAAGCUUUGAUGGUCUAGCUGAAGUCCAUAUGAGUCUUUAUCUUUGUAUCUUCUAACAAGGAAACACUACUUAGGCCUUUAGGAUAAGGUUGCGGUUUAAGUUCUUAUACUCAAUCAUACACAUGACAUCAAGUCAUAUUCGAGUCCAAAAC